GUGGGGAAUAUUGGACAAUGGGCGAAAGCCUGAUCCAGCCAUGCCGCGUGUGUGAAGAAGGUCUUCGGAUUGUAAAGCACUUUAAGUUGGGAGGAAGGGCAGUAAGUUAAUACCUUGCUGUUUUGACGUUACCGACAGAAUAAGCACCGGCUAACUUCGUGCCAGCAGCCGCGGUAAUACGAAGGGUGCAAGCGUUAAUCGGAAUUACUGGGCGUAAAGCGCGCGUAGGUGGUUCAGUAAGUUGGAAGUGAAAUCCCCGGGCUCAACCUGGGAACUGCUUUCAAAACUGCUGAGCUAGAGUACGGUAGAGGGUGGUGGAAUUUCCUGUGUAGCGGUGAAAUGCGUAGAUAUAGGAAGGAACACCAGUGGCGAAGGCGACCACCUGGACUGAUACUGACACUGAGGUGCGAAAGCGUGGGGAGCAAACAGGAUUAGAUACCCCAGUAGUCC
Molecule: ribosomal RNA, 450 nt
Filed under: uncultured bacterium
Lineage: Bacteria
Description: bacterial SSU rRNA
Rfam family: Bacterial small subunit ribosomal RNA
Source: RNAcentral